This is a non-coding RNA of Parelaphostrongylus tenuis, 73 nucleotides long. NCBI's taxonomy places the organism in Eukaryota, Metazoa, Nematoda, Chromadorea, Rhabditida, Metastrongylidae. The record is from the annotation of a GenBank genome assembly.
GUGUCAGUAGUGCAACGGUUCAGCACGCACUCCUGGAAAGAUUGAGGUCUGGGAUCAAAUCGCAGCAGGCGCA